AUAGCUCCAACGUCUCAGUCUGAGAGGUCGAAUUCCUAGGAACCGUCACUCGUGUGGUCAACGAGAAUCAGCCCCCUCCAACCUGGGGCCAAGUAAAAAAUGUCGCUGACCGUGCUCGGGGUAUGGUACGACAAGGAGCACUUCCUCCAUCAGCAGACAGCCUUUUCGUUGCUGUGCUUGCUAUCAUCGCUGCUCAGAUUCACCACCCUGUAAAGAUUCAAAAAUAUUAGAAACCACGUGGGAUCAUGUAAGCAGGACCUCUGGGUUCCUCCCUGGUUCUUCUGUGGAUUUCCAAAAAAGGCUACAGACAAAAUAUACCACGGAAAGAGAAUACACAGGAGACCUUAAGCAAAACAUAAACACCAGAAAACAUAUAAUGCAGAUGGAAGACUGGUAAACAGUGGACUGAAGUGCUGGUUAUUUCCUGUGUUUCCAGUUAGUAUUUAUCAAGAGAGUCCCAUGCAGAGUCUGACAGCUUUGGGUAAGUC
Long non-coding RNA from Peromyscus eremicus (cactus mouse), 488 nucleotides. RefSeq lists it as uncharacterized. The transcript has 3 exons. The record is from RefSeq and is a predicted model, not a curated record. Lineage: Eukaryota; Metazoa; Chordata; Mammalia; Rodentia; Cricetidae.